GACGAACGCUGGCGGCGUGCUUAACACAUGCAAGUCGAACGAUGAAGCCUAGCUUGCUAGGUGGAUUAGUGGCGAACGGGUGAGUAAUACGUGAGUGACCUACCUUUGACUCUGGGAUAAGCCUGGGAAACUGGGUCUAAUACCGGAUACGACCAAUCUCUGCAUGGGGUGUUGGUGGAAAGCGUUAUGGAGUGGUUUUAGAUGGGCUCACGGCCUAUCAGCUUGUUGGUGAGGUAAUGGCUUACCAAGGCGACGACGGGUAGCCGGCCUGAGAGGGUGACCGGCCACACUGGGACUGAGACACGGCCCAGACUCCUACGGGAGGCAGCAGUGGGGAAUAUUGCACAAUGGGCGCAAGCCUGAUGCAGCGACGCCGCGUGAGGGAUGACGGCCUUCGGGUUGUAAACCUCUGUUAGCAUCGAAGAAGCGAAAGUGACGGUAGGUGCAGAGAAAGCGCC
This 458-nucleotide ribosomal RNA is filed under the name Rothia dentocariosa. RNAcentral describes it as "bacterial SSU rRNA". It matches the Rfam family "Bacterial small subunit ribosomal RNA", at positions 28 to 494 of the family's 1533-position model. Lineage: Bacteria; Bacillati; Actinomycetota; Actinomycetes; Micrococcales; Micrococcaceae. The record is from RNAcentral.